UGACGAAAAGGACGCUGAGCCUUCACGUAAGCAAGCAAAGUAGAAGCAAGAUGAGGAAGCAGAGCUACCAUAGAAGCAUUAGCUUCCCCCCCGACCUACUACAAUACAACAGUUGCAACCAUAAAAUAAUAGUAAAAAAAAAAACCUUUUUCCAAGCCUUUUAGUUUAAGGAACUCGAUCUGGAUGCGUAGAUAAAUUAUUGUUGUAAAUGGUUCAGAUCUGAAUGAGAAUUUGCUUGAACUAGAUCAGACCCAAUCAGCCAAUGAUCGGAUCUAGUCGGCAUGACUAGAGAAUCCCUUUGAAGGGCGAAGGAGGUGAGCAAUGGUGAGGCCUCUCCGACGGCUCUCCGCUCUGUUUGCUUCUCCUUCCUAUUGCUCUUGCUGCCCCAAAGAAGCCAUCUCAGGCCGCCCGGACAGAAGACGUCCCCUUGAUCAAGUGCCAGAUAAUUGGGAUAGAUGAGAACAUAUUUAAUCUCAAGAAGGAAGAGGUGGAUUGGAUUCUCCAGAUUGAUAUUGUUGAGAACGGAGACAAAUUGGAGGUAAAAGAACGAUUUUUUUUCAGAGUUAAAAUGUGACUCUCCUGGCAUUCCGAAGUCACUUUGAUUUAAUGCCUUGUAUUGACUAAAUUAUAAUGGUCCUGCGGCUCGCUGCAUAUGAAGUUAAAAGGGUGUCUACAUUUGAUGAAAUUUAGGGAGUUUUUCUUUUUUGUUUUGUUUCUUUUCUCUCUCACUUCGUAAUAUGUUGUAAAUUUCCUUUCCUUAAUAAUUUCAGCAGCUUCCCACUUUCCCUCCAUUUCAUUUCAAAUAAAAAAAGAGAAAUCGAGUACCAUAAUAUGAGUGUCUUGUACAAAAAUAAAGGAAUGGUGUUUUGGCAGAAUAUGCCUCAUAAUAAGUAGUUUUAUCACAAAAAAAAAUCCAGUCCUCUGGCAUUACAUACGUGGUUUUAAUUGAUAGAGAAACUAUAUUGCAUCAUAAGAGCUGUAAAAAUGGGCGCUAGUUCAC
Molecule: non-coding RNA, 1000 nt
Organism: Phoenix dactylifera (date palm)
Lineage: Eukaryota; Viridiplantae; Streptophyta; Magnoliopsida; Arecales; Arecaceae
Source: RefSeq, a predicted model, not a curated record